UUGGAGGGCAAGUCUGGUGCCAGCAGCCGCGGUAAUUCCAGCUCCAAUAGCGUAUAUUAAAGUUGUUGCAGUUAAAAAGCUCGUAGUUGAAUUUCGGGGUCAGCAGGUUGGUCGUGCCACUGGUAUGCACUGGCUUCGCUGAUUCCUCCUUUCUGAAGAACUGUAAUGUCAUUAAUUUGGUGUUGCAGGGAAACAGGACUGUUACUUUGAAAAAAUUAGAGUGUUUAAAGCAGGCUAACGCUUGAAUACAUUAGCAUGGAAUAAUGAAAUAGGACGUUCGAUCCUAUUUUGUUGGUUUCUAGGAUUGACGUAAUGAUUAAUAGGGAUAGUUGGGGGCAUUAGUAUUCAAUUGUCAGAGGUGAAAUUCUUGGAUUUAUUGAAGACUAACUACUGCGAAAGCAUUUGCCAAGGAUGUUUUCAUUAAUCAAGAACGAAAGUUAGGGGAUCGAAGACGAUCAGAUACCGUCGUAGUCUUAACCAUAAACUAUGCCGACUAGGGAUCGGAUGAUGUUAAUUUUUUAAUGACUCAUUCGGCGCCUUACGGGAAAC
This 549-nucleotide ribosomal RNA is filed under the name uncultured Glomeromycotina. RNAcentral describes it as "SSU rRNA". It matches the Rfam family "Eukaryotic small subunit ribosomal RNA", at positions 548 to 1098 of the family's 1831-position model. Lineage: Eukaryota; Fungi; Glomeromycota. The record is from RNAcentral.